GCAAACUUGGUCAUUUAGAGGAAGUAAAAGUCGUAACAAGGUCUCCGUAGGUGAACCGUAAGUUGCGCCCAUCAAAUUCCGUCGAGAAUCGAACGAAUGCUAACUGUUUCGCAGUGCGGAGGGAUCAUUACCAGAGAUAGGGCCUCCGGGUCCGACCUCCAACCCUUUGUGAUUAAAACCUCUGUUGCCUCGGGGGUGACCCGGCCCUGUGCCGGGGCCCCCGACGGACCAACCUACUCUGCAUCUUUGCGUCGGAUUGAACAAGAAAAUUGAUUAAAACUUUCAACAACGGAUCUCUUGGUUCCGGCAUCGAUGAAGAACGCAGC
This 326-nucleotide unclassified non-coding RNA is filed under the name uncultured fungus. Its description in RNAcentral is "partial contains small subunit ribosomal RNA, internal transcribed spacer 1, and 5.8S ribosomal RNA". The stretch from base 278 to 326 matches the Rfam family "5.8S ribosomal RNA", at positions 1 to 49 of the family's 154-position model. Lineage: Eukaryota; Fungi. The record is from RNAcentral.